RNAcentral lists this ribosomal RNA (253 nucleotides) under uncultured bacterium. RNAcentral describes it as "partial 16S ribosomal RNA". It matches the Rfam family "Bacterial small subunit ribosomal RNA", at positions 524 to 776 of the family's 1533-position model. The record is from RNAcentral.
UACAGAGGUCCCAAGCGUUGUUCGGAUUCAUUGGGCGUAAAGGGUGCGUAGGUGGCUCCGUAAGUCGGGUGUGAAAUCUCGGGGCUUAACUCCGAAACUGCAUUCGAUACUGCGGUGCUUGAGGACUGGAGAGGAGACUGGAAUUCAUGGUGUAGCAGUGAAAUGCGUAGAGAUCAUGAGGAAGACCAGUGGCGAAGGCGGGUCUCUGGACAGUUCCUGACACUGAGACACGAAGGCCAGGGGAGCAAACGGG